UGGGGAAUCUUGCACAAUGGGGGCAACCCUGAUGCAGCGACGCCGCGUGAGCGAUGAAGGUUUUCGAAUCGUAAAGCUCUGUCCUAUGGGAAGAUAAUGACGGUACCCUGUGAGGAAGCCCCGGCUAACUACGUGCCAGCAGCCGCGGUAAUACGUAGGGGGCUAGCGUUAUCCGGAUUUACUGGGCGUAAAGGGUGCGUAGGUGGUCCUUCAAGUCGGUGGUUAAAGGCUACGGCUCAACCGUAGUAAGCCGCCGAAACUGGAGGACUUGAGUGCAGGAGAGGAAAGUGGAAUUCCCAGUGUAGCGGUGAAAUGCGUAGAUAUUGGGAGGAACACCAGUAGCGAAGGCGGCUUUCUGGACUGCAACUGACACUGAGGCACGAAAGCGUGGGUAGCAAACAGG
This 403-nucleotide ribosomal RNA is filed under the name Verrucomicrobiota bacterium. RNAcentral's name for it is "Verrucomicrobia bacterium partial 16S ribosomal RNA". It matches the Rfam family "Bacterial small subunit ribosomal RNA", at positions 355 to 776 of the family's 1533-position model. The record is from RNAcentral. Lineage: Bacteria; Pseudomonadati; Verrucomicrobiota.